Molecule: non-coding RNA, 118 nt
Filed under: Streptomyces sp. SPB78
Lineage: Bacteria; Bacillati; Actinomycetota; Actinomycetes; Kitasatosporales; Streptomycetaceae
Description: gntR-DTE RNA
Rfam family: gntR-DTE RNA
Source: Rfam by way of RNAcentral
CGGGUGAAGUCGUCGGCGGCACAGCCGAACGCACCAGCUCCGGAGAACGCCCCCACCUGGGGCGCCGCCUGGUGUGAGCCGCCCUGCUGGCGUCAGAGCAGUGACGAUGACGCACCCG